AGCGAACGCUGGCGGCAGGCUUAACACAUGCAAGUCGAGCGGGCACUUCGGUGUCAGCGGCAGACGGGUGAGUAACACGUGGGAACGUACCCUUCGGUUCGGAAUAACGCUGGGAAACUAGCGCUAAUACCGGAUACGCCCUUUUGGGAAAGGUUUACUGCCGAAGGAUCGGCCCGCGUCUGAUUAGCUAGUUGGUGGGGUAAUGGCCUACCAAGGCGACGAUCAGUAGCUGGUCUGAGAGGAUGAUCAGCCACACUGGGACUGAGACACGGCCCAGACUCCUACGGGAGGCAGCAGUGGGGAAUAUUGGACAAUGGGCGCAAGCCUGAUCCAGCCAUGCCGCGUGAGUGAUGAAGGCCUUAGGGUUGUAAAGCUCUUUUGUCCGGGACGAUAAUGACGGUACCGGAAGAAUAAGCCCCGGCUAACUUCGUG
Molecule: ribosomal RNA, 432 nt
Filed under: uncultured bacterium
Lineage: Bacteria
Description: partial 16S ribosomal RNA
Rfam family: Bacterial small subunit ribosomal RNA
Source: RNAcentral